CCAAUAGCGUAUAUUAAAGUUGUUGCAGUUAAAAAGCUCGUAGUUGAAUUUCGGGGUCAAUAGGUUGGUCGUGCCACCGGUACGUACUGGUCUCACUGAUUCCUCCUUCCUGAAGAACCGUAAUGCCAUUAAUUUGGUGUUGCGGUGAAACAGGACUGUUACUUUGAAAAAAUUAGAGUGUUUAAAGCAGGCUAACGCUUGAAUCCAUUAGCAUGGAAUACUGAAAUAGGACGAUCGAUCCUAUUUUGUUGGUUUCUAGGAUUGACGUAAUGAUUAAUAGGGAUAGUUGGGGGCAUUAGUAUUCAAUUGUCAGAGGUGAAAUUCUUUGAUUUAUUGAAGACUAACUACUGCGAAAGCAUUUGCCAAGGAUGUUUUCAUUAAUCAAGAACGAAAGUUAGGGGAUCGAAGACGAUCAGAUACCGUCGUAGUCUUAACCAUAAACUAUGCCGACUAGGGAUCGGAUGAUGUUAAUUUUAUAAUGACUCAUUCGGCGCCUUACGG
This 501-nucleotide ribosomal RNA is filed under the name uncultured Glomus. RNAcentral describes it as "SSU rRNA". It matches the Rfam family "Eukaryotic small subunit ribosomal RNA", at positions 591 to 1093 of the family's 1831-position model. The record is from RNAcentral. Lineage: Eukaryota; Fungi; Glomeromycota; Glomeromycetes; Glomerales; Glomeraceae.